GCAGAUCCAUCUCAUCUCUCUCCCCAACCAAAUAGACCACUAGUACUCUCGGUGUUGCUUCGCUUCUAGAAGAUAGACCGGGACUCCCGCCAUCAUGUGUGGAUUCUACGACUAACUUGAACUCGGCGCGAUAAUCAUCAGAGGGAGUGGGAUUGCUCGUCGUGAUCGCUGUGGCACCAUGGAGUCGCCUUCGACGUCGUCAGGGGCCUUCGCGUCAUCACCGCUAGUGAGAACCUUUCCUUGUAGAUCCACUUUUGUUUCCGCGUCAUGUAUAACUAGUCAGAUUGGGAACUAGAGCAUGGGGGCACCGGUAGGGUGCUCGUCGAUGAGAAUACCGCCGCGAAGCCCCUAUGUAGUGUGGGUAUCGUUCCUGGCCUUGUGAUUUAUGGUUAUGGUAGCGUUUGAUAGAUUCGCCUUGAUCUGCUCUAUGCAUAGAUCUCUUCCACUCUCAAAUCCAUAGACUAGAUGGCUGGUUCGUCUGCUCGUCGGAGUCACCACCGCAGAGGAGGCCACCUCCGUCCUGAUGUUGUUAGGAGGUAGGAGAUGAAGGGUGGUCAUUGAUUGGCCAAUGAAGGGUCUAAAUUAGAACAUAAAUAUCCUUUCGUCGAUCUAACAUUCGAGCCAUAGAUCAGAGUUCAAUGGAUGUGAUUAGAUCGCGAGGAUACCGUUUCAUUCAGGCAAUCUAAGCGAUAGAAUGGAUAUCAGGUGGCCGAGGUGAGAGCACGUGAAGUCGGAUGUGGAAGUUUUCUAAAGAGACCCUGCCUUCGUUUUAAACCAACCCGCAUCCUAGUCAUAUAUAAAGAACAUUGCAGACCGGUCCAAUAAUUUAUAAAAUAAUCCCCAAGCUCUUGAACAUUCUAAGCCGCCGACUAGCCUCCCCAUUCUUACACCAAGGACCCUAACAUUUUAGUAAUAUUUAUGUUUUAGCCCUCAAACCUUCGCAGAUGGGUCCCUAGAGCUAUAGUUUUAAUAUAAAAUAUGCCUAAACUUGUAUAAUUCAUAUUUUUCGCUUUUAACUCCGAUUUUAGUGGUUCUCGAACCUACGGAUUCGUCAAUAUCAUGAUGUUUGUUUUUCUGUUUGAUGUAAUGUUAUUUUUAUUUUUAUUUUGUUUGUUUGUGUUGCUGUGAAUAGACGAGCAUGUGAAUUGGGAAUUUGAAGCCUAGUAGUUUGAGGGAUCUGAGUAGGAGCUCCUAGUGGUAGGCAAGUGUGUCCUUGAUCAUGUAUUUUUGUGAUCCAAUAAUAUUUACUAUUAUGUUCACACCCAUGCAUGCUCAAUUAGAUUAAAUUGAUGAAAACUUAAUAGGUUACCUAGUUUUGUUUAUCAUAUACCUGGUUUUACCUGAUUACAAGUUAUUGGGUUAAUGAUACAUAUGAAAUAUUGAUCAUGAUUUAUUAUGGUGCAUUUAUUAUUCAUAAUAAGAUCAUUUUGUUUAAUUGGAACAUGGAGAGACCACCCGAGAAAAUAGUGCUGCCACAAGACUAUUAUGACUCUAGUCUUGGCAAAUUAAUUAAGGAAGCUAGUGUGUGAGAACCUUACCCGGUUAGUGACAAGCGGGGAAGUGUUGCUGAAGCAUGGUGACAUGACUGAUUAUGUUGUAAUGGCUUUUCAGACUAGCGAAUGAUCUAUGCCAACUCAUCUUGAAUCUGUAGCAGGUUUUCUCAUACUAGUGGAUAUUUGUAAAGGCCUCAUAGUGGAUCCCUAGCCAUUCACCUCGGUACUGUUUACGGGCCUUGCAAACAUGGGCUAUAAGGGAUACACGACUUGUGAAUAAAGAUGUGCGACCUCUGCAGAGUGUAAAACUGAUAUAUUAGUCUGCUUAUAGUCACAAGUGGCUCGGACCGUCACAUGAUUAAUAUAUGAAAGUAAAUUUAACUUAACAUGAGUGUGGUUGGUUUAUGGGUAACAGUUUGGUUAUGAUCAUUUAUCUAAUUGGAUUUAUAUUUACUUAUACCUUGUAAUUGCUAAUAAAAGUUUGACCAACUUAAUUAAAAGCUAAUGAUUAGCCUCUGAAUUUUUCUUGGUAAACCUUACACUACACUUAUUACUGCACACUUGUUGAUCCCCAACCGUAAGUGAGCUCACCUUGCUAUAAUUACUGCUCAGAUCAGGAACAGAUAUCGCUAGAGGAGGAUUACUAUGAUGAGUUCGACAAGUUCUAUGCCAUUGUUUCCUAGUCAACCACACUUGUGGAGAAGUUAUCUUAGCUCGGUUUAUUUUAUUUAGUUAUUUUUGUAAAGACAUUUGUUACGAAAUAAAGUAUGUGACACUAGUUACUAU
This 2279-nucleotide long non-coding RNA is filed under the name Zea mays. RNAcentral describes it as "long non-coding RNA (ZMAY_LNC000493)". Lineage: Eukaryota; Viridiplantae; Streptophyta; Magnoliopsida; Poales; Poaceae. The record is from RNAcentral.